CACAAACCCAAGAAAGCAAGUUUUGAAUCUGUUCUCAUUUGUAGAAUAAGUAGAUUGUUUGUAAACUUCAAACCUCUGAGUUGCUUUUCUGGAAUGAAGAAAUCAGUGAACUCUUUCUUUCCUUCACUGUGGUCACUUGGUACCUAAAAAGUGUUCACUUGCACAAAAAAUAUUUCCUGGUAUUGAGGAGCCUGUGCAAGGAAAAUCACAAUGAGUCUAACAGGGAAAGUCCAAAAUGGUUUUUCAGUUGUUUUUGUUUUGUUUUGUUUUGUUUUUCAGGUCUUUCAGGAGGGGAAAAUCCCCUCCCUUUCCAACUGCUCUUCUAACAACUGCUUCCCUGUAACCUCAGGGUCCAGUGACCCUCCAAGGGUCAGAAGCAGCGUCUGGGUGGCAGCGGAGGUUUCCAGCGACUUUGUUCCAAAAGCAUUGAUCUGAGGAAAGGAUGAGAAUCUCAGGACAAAGGCCCUUGCAAAUGCAGCUUCAAGAUUUCACCCAGAGCUUCUUGGAAAGAGAUACGAAUGGUGCUCAUUUCCUUUCCCCACCACACCCCCCACCCCAUUUCCUGUCCCUCCUUCAGAAAUAUGCAAUAUCCCACUGGAGCUUGUCACACAGGAUCCCAGCACAGAGCAACAGAUACUGCUGCAUUUGCAUAAGCACACACAGGAGAAAAAGCUUGCUGUUCCAGACUGUCUGCAAAAGCAAACUGUCGCUUUAAGAAAGGGGUCAGCAUGACUCCCUGGUGCGUCCCUUCCUGGGACAAAAAUCAUUGCUCCUACCUGUGGGCUAUCUUGGUUUACUUUACAACAGCGGGUCUCAAAGAGUAUUCCAGAACUCUUGAGGGUCCUAAGAUCCUUUCCGAGGGUCUGCUAGCUCAAAACUAUUUUCAUAAUAAUGCUGUGGUAUAAUUUGCCUUUUCUACUUUCAUUCUCUCCUGAGCCUACAGUGGAGCUUCUAGUGCCUAUGUGAUACUGACGACUGACGACUGACGUCACAGCAGAUUGGAUGCAAAUGCACAUGAGAGCCCAGCACUCUCUUGUUAAGCCCAACAUCUAUGGUAUCCAGCCAUAUGGACUACUGUAUUCUGUGAUAUAACAGCCCAAGUGGACCAAGACGCUAUGUAACCCGUUACUGAAGUUGGAGACUGUGCUGGUUCUCAUACGCUGACGAAGUAAUUCUUCGGUUCAUUUCCAUCUUCUAGAUAAGAGCAGUUGAAGAAGUGAAGUCACCUACAUGUCCAAGACCUCUCUCAGUAAGACUCAGGAGUCAAACCCUGGUGUAUCUGGCUUCGCCUUCACUCUCUCUCCUAGUUCAGGGCUGAUCCGGCAGAGCCUCCCUGGCAAAACAGGCAUUUUGCAGUUAAAUAUUCACACCAGAAAAGGCAAUUAGUUGUGUUGACCCUUGAAAGUCAUGGGUUUUUAUUAACCCCUGAACUCAGUCCAGAAUUUUCAACAAUUCUCCGCUCAGUAAUAGUAGGACCUCAAAGAGAUGUUUUGUUUCCUUCAUCUUUUUGGGAGGCUAUUCCCAGAUGGUAUCAGAGAGAAAAUUUUACAAAGAUAUUCUCUCAGAGAGGUGUAGAAAUUACAGAUGGAGUAAAAAGUUUGGGGUGACAGAUGGCUUAGAGCCGGAGUUUGGAAAACCCCAGGCUGUGGGCCAAAUCUGGUCUUUGUAUGGCCUACAAAUUAAAAAUGGUUUUUAGGAAUGCCUGGGUAGCUCAGUCAGUUGAGCGUCUGACUUAGG
Long non-coding RNA from Leopardus geoffroyi (Geoffroy's cat), 1737 nucleotides. RefSeq lists it as uncharacterized. The record is from RefSeq and is a predicted model, not a curated record. The transcript is spliced from 3 exons. Lineage: Eukaryota; Metazoa; Chordata; Mammalia; Carnivora; Felidae.